UGGGGAAUAUUGGACAAUGGGCGCAAGCCUGAUCCAGCCAUGCCGCGUGAGUGAUGAAGGCCUUAGGGUUGUAAAGCUCUUUCGCCGGUGAAGAUAAUGACGGUAACCGGAGAAGAAGCCCCGGCUAACUUCGUGCCAGCAGCCGCGGUAAUACGAAGGGGGCUAGCGUUGCUCGGAAUCACUGGGCGUAAAGCGCACGUAGGCGGAUCGUUAAGUCAGGGGUGAAAUCCUGGAGCUCAACUCCAGAACUGCCCUUGAUACUGGCGAUCUCGAGUUCGAGAGAGGUUGGUGGAACUCCGAGUGUAGAGGUGAAAUUCGUAGAUAUUCGGAAGAACACCAGUGGCGAAGGCGGCCAACUGGCUCGAUACUGACGCUGAGGUGCGAAAGCGUGGGGAGCAAAACAGGAUUAGAUACCCUGGUAGUCCACGCCGUAAAACGAUGGAUGCUAGCCGUUGGGGGUUUGACCUCUCAGUGGCGCAGCUAACGCCUUAAGCAUCCCGCCUGGGGAGUACGGUCGCAAGAUUAAAACUCAAAUGAAUUGACGGGGUCAUAGCUGUUUCCU
RNAcentral lists this ribosomal RNA (562 nucleotides) under uncultured bacterium. RNAcentral's name for it is "partial 16S ribosomal RNA". It matches the Rfam family "Bacterial small subunit ribosomal RNA", at positions 355 to 1375 of the family's 1533-position model. The record is from RNAcentral.